Hypanus sabinus (Atlantic stingray) is the source of this 182-nucleotide long non-coding RNA. RefSeq lists it as uncharacterized. The transcript has 3 exons. The record is from RefSeq and is a predicted model, not a curated record. Lineage: Eukaryota; Metazoa; Chordata; Chondrichthyes; Myliobatiformes; Dasyatidae.
AGGAGAAAAAGUAUGAAUUGUUUGCAAUAUGGCACCACAGAGGACACUAUGGAAGUGGCCACUAUUAUGCUGAAAUCAAAUCAGGCUCUGAUGACUGGUACAAUUUUAAUGAUGAAGAUGUUAUAAAGGAAAACAAUUUCAAUCCAUGUUCCGAAACUGCUUACGUGCUUAUGUACAGACUG